UGACCUCAAAUCAGGUAGGACUACCCGCUGAACUUAAGCAUAUCAAUAAGCGGAGGAAAAGAAACUAACAAGGAUUCCCCUAGUAACUGCGAGUGAAGCGGGAAAAGCUCAAAUUUAAAAUCUGGCGGUCUUUUGGCUGUCCGAGUUGUAAUCUAGAGAAGUGUUAUCCGCGCUGGACCGUGUACAAGUCUCCUGGAAUGGAGCAUCAUAGAGGGUGAGAAUCCCGUCUUUGACAUGGACUGCCAGGGCUUUUGUGAUGCGCUCUCAAAGAGUCGAGUUGUUUGGGAAUGCAGCUCAAAAUGGGUGGUAAAUUCCAUCUAAAGCUAAAUAUUGGCGAGAGACCGAUAGCGAACAAGUACCGUGAGGGAAAGAUGAAAAGAACUUUGGAAAGAGAGUUAAACAGUACGUGAAAUUGCUGAAAGGGAAACGCUUGAAGUCAGUCGCGUCGUCCAGGGAUCAACCUUGCUUUUGCUUGGUGCACUUUCUGGUUUGACGGGUCAGCAUCAAUUUUGAUCAUUGGAAAAAGGUCAAGGGAAUGUGGCAUCUUUGGAUGUGUUUAUAGCCCUUGGUCACAUACAAUGGUUGGGAUUGAGGAACUCAGCACGCCGCAAGGCCGGGUGUUAAACCACGUACGUGCUUAGGAU
This 644-nucleotide ribosomal RNA is filed under the name Cortinarius californicus. Its description in RNAcentral is "eukaryotic LSU rRNA". It matches the Rfam family "Eukaryotic large subunit ribosomal RNA", at positions 1 to 624 of the family's 3401-position model. Lineage: Eukaryota; Fungi; Basidiomycota; Agaricomycetes; Agaricales; Cortinariaceae. The record is from RNAcentral.